CUUCGUUAAUACCAGCUUGUGUUCCUAAAUGUACUCGGCACUAAUCAUAUGUAAGACAGAUGGAAGAAGACAGAAACAUAUUUGAAGGUUUGAAGCUGUACAGGGAAUGCUGUACACUUACCAGCGCCCCACGAAUCCUCACUUUCAGUCCAGCUCGUAUGACUGGAGGUCGCCUCCUCAGUAGCACAGCAGGCUGUCAUAGCUUCCCGAUCACAUGUUCAUUUUCCAUCCCAGGAGGAGGAACGUUAUCUUAAAGGAUCAGCAAUUCUAAGUUGUUCUUCUGGCUACUACUAAGCACUGUGCUACCCCUGCCUUUCUGAAGAGAUACUCAAGCAAUGUUCCCUUGCAACAGAAAUCAAAGCCUGGAGGUCAUUUCCAGAGGAUGAAUAUCUGAAAAUAGCUGUUGCUGCUUGUCGUGACUUUAGAUAGUUUUAUAUAAUUGUGACAUGGCUGCAUUUCAAAUUGACACUGUGCCAGUUGCUUGUGGGAACAAUAUGGGGUAAUGUAAUUCUAAAGUGUGCCCACGUCUAGUAACCCAUAGCAACCAGAGGUGUAUUUUUAAACAGCAGACCGGUAGAUGAAACCAGCUGGUUUGAUUGUUUUGUUUUAUUUGAUUGAAGACUCAGUUGCAUGAA
Molecule: long non-coding RNA, 635 nt
Organism: Xenopus laevis (African clawed frog)
Lineage: Eukaryota; Metazoa; Chordata; Amphibia; Anura; Pipidae
Exons: 3
Source: RefSeq, a predicted model, not a curated record